RNAcentral lists this long non-coding RNA (887 nucleotides) under Eptatretus burgeri (inshore hagfish). Its description in RNAcentral is "lncRNA (ENSEBUG00000017482.1)". The record is from RNAcentral. Lineage: Eukaryota; Metazoa; Chordata; Myxini; Myxiniformes; Myxinidae.
AUGCAAGAUGAAGACGAUAAUGAUUCAUCAGCCCUACAAGCUUUCGGUUGUGUUUCUGUGAAGAACGAUCCAGAUGAUCAUGCAACAAACUGCAGUGGUCCUUGUUCAGCAACCGAACAUUCAGGAAUGAAUAUUUUGGUGGCGAACAAAAUUGGUGCUUUGAAGAAACAUUCACUCGGUCAACACUCAUUACCUUUAAGUCACAAGUCCAGCUCUCGUCAACACAGCAGAAAGAAAAAAAGUGCAGAAGAAAAAAGAGACCAAAAACGGCUGCAGAAGCAAGCUCAGCGUGCUAACCCUGCAAAGAGGGCAGCAGAGCAAGAACGAGAGCGAGCUCGAAAAAGGACCCGCCGCGAGGAUUAUGACUACAGGUCGAAAGAAAAUUCUGCCUCCAGAGAAAGAAUGCGACUAUAUCGUCAAGACCCCAAUUAUAGAUUACAAGAGAAUGCAGCCUUGAGAGAGCGUAUGAAGGCACGCAGAAAGGAUUCAGAAUUCGUGGCACUUGAACGACUGGCAAAAACUGCGGCAAGACUUAAAAAAUGUUCAAGCACAGUAACACGUGAACUUGAACAAGCACUGGACACACAAUGAGUGAAACCAAGAGUGCAACGCAAUUAACCUUUUUAAAGUCCAUGAAAUAAUUUAAAUUGAUAGAUGACCAUAACAAACUUUUCCCCUCACUGGGAAUGGGUACUUUUGCCUGUGCUCUCAUACUUUAGACUGCUGCCAUGUGUGCUCACACAUUUUGGUAAACCAUUAUUUCUGUUUAUUUGCUUAAUUUAGGAUAGAGUUAAAAUAAUCUUGGUAAAUUGCUUGUUGAUGAGCUCACGCUUGUAAGGGGGAAAAAAAAUAAUGUAAAUAAAGAUUUUAAUUUUCCAUUACCAACA